GCGGGGGAGCACCACCAGGCGUGAAGCCUGCGGUUUAAUUGGAGUCAACGCCGGAAAGCUUACCGGGAGCGAAAGCAGAGUGAAGGCCAGGCUGAAGACCUUGCCAGACAAGCUGAGAGGAGGUGCAUGGCCGUCGCCAGUUCGUGCCGUGAGGUGUCCUCUUAAGUGAGGUAACGAACGAGACCCGUGCCCCAUGUUGCCAUCAAAUCCUAUAUGGAUGUUGGGCACUCUUGGGGGACCGCAGCCGAUAAGGCUGAGGAAGGUACGGGCAACGGCAGGUCAGUAUGCCCCGAAUCUCCCGGGCCACACGCGGGCUGCAAUGGUAGGGACAGAGGGCUGCAACCCCGAGAGGGGAAGCCAAUCCCUAAACCCUACCUCAGUUGGGAUUGAGGGCUGAAACCCGCCCUCAUGAACCUGGAAUGCCUAGUAACCGCGCGUCACCAUCGCGCGGUGAAUACGUCCCUGCUCCUUGCACACACUGCCCGUCGAACCACCCGAAUGGAGUCUGGACGAGGCGUGGUCGUUAGUUGGCCGCGUCGAAUCGGGCUCUGUAAGGAGGGUUAAGUCUAAC
Molecule: ribosomal RNA, 571 nt
Filed under: uncultured archaeon
Lineage: Archaea
Description: bacterial SSU rRNA
Rfam family: Archaeal small subunit ribosomal RNA
Source: RNAcentral